Molecule: ribosomal RNA, 119 nt
Filed under: Pteropus alecto (black flying fox)
Lineage: Eukaryota; Metazoa; Chordata; Mammalia; Chiroptera; Pteropodidae
Source: RNAcentral
GUCUAUGACCAUGCCACCCUGAACAAGCCUAAUCCCAUCUGAUCUCGGAAGCUAAGCAGGGUCAAACCUGGUUAAUACUUGGAUGGGAGACCAUCUAGGAAGACCAGGUGCUGUAGGUG